CCCCCCAGGAGGCCUCUCCCGGCGCGUCCCACCCCAGCCUCACCCCGAGGGGCGCCAGCAACCAGAGCCUGCGCUACUGCCAAGGCCCAGAGCGGAAGAGCCGGGCCUCGGACGCGGUUAGGACAGGCGGGGAGCCUGGAGGGCUCCCCUGGGCUGGAUCCUCCGUCCCACAGCAGAGGCAGAAGCAGCAACAGGAGCCCUCCGAGGAGGCUGCAGUCGGGUGCUAUUAUUACUUCCUCUGGUUACUCAACUGCUAUUAAUAACAUCUAAGCUGAUAUGAGUGCGGUGCUUUCCUUGAAGAAUUCCAGGAAAUGAAAACUCAUUUUGAAGGAGGCUUUGCCCAGCAUUUCUUCUCCAUUCCGAGGAGGAGGACCUCAUCCUCACGGCAGCCACAGCGUCCGGUAUUGGAGUUUUCGAGUUAGUGACAAGCCAACAGAUUUGAAAAAACUAAACUGACUGUUAUAAAGAGCACUUUAUUAAUUUUGUUGACAAAGGUUGUUCAAUUUGAAUUAUUUAUGAUGCUCUAUUGUCCACUGGAGACAGCCCACAACUCAUUCAAUAGGAGGCAAUCAGCAGUGUAACCUGAGACCUUAGCCUAUCUCUCAACUUUCCAAUCCUUCUAACGAGGAAAGGCAGGUGUUUUCAAGAAAGAAGAGUUAUUCAUUUAUUCAAUAAAUAUUUAUUGAUAUUGAAAUGAUAAUUUAUGGUAAGUGAUAAUAAUAGGGUUAUGACAGUAAGUGGGGCUGUAACCAGUUAAAUGGAAAAUCACGGGUUAUAGUUCCAUAAACAUUCUGUUUUUCUAUAAAAACUACUUCACCACAAUCUUAUACACCCCAAAGCAAUUGUAUCUUCUGAGUAUUCAGGAAGGUCAUGAGUGGCAUCUUAUGAGCCAAACUGUGCCCUGCCCAUCACCACCCAAAUUCAUGUGAUGGGUGCCCGACCCUAGUACUUCAGAACACAUUUGGAGAUAAGGUCUUUAAAGAAGCAGUGAAGGUCAGAUGAGGUCCUUCGGAUGGGCCCUGAUCCAGUAUUUCCAGUGUCCUUAUGAGAAGAUGAAGUUAGGACAUGGAUACACAUAGAAGAACGAACACAUGAAAACACGGGGAGAAGUUGGCCCUCUACAAGCCAAAGAGAGACACCCUGCCAACACCUUGGUC
This is a long non-coding RNA of Canis lupus familiaris (dog), 1157 nucleotides long. RefSeq lists it as uncharacterized. The record is from RefSeq and is a predicted model, not a curated record. NCBI's taxonomy places the organism in Eukaryota, Metazoa, Chordata, Mammalia, Carnivora, Canidae. The transcript is spliced from 3 exons.